GAUGCAACUAUCGAUGGCGAACAAAUUGUUUGGACUGAAGUUAGCAAACAGGUGCAGGAAUGGUUUGACUCUACAUGGAAUAGUGAUGCUAAAGCGGCUAUCGUAGAAACGGUUCGAUGUUCGGUGGAUUCUAUUAUCAAUCCAUGCACAAUAGCUGACUUAACUAGUGGAAAUUUUGAGUGUUUGAGAGACCAAAUUGACCCAACCUGCCUUACCCCAACCACCGGACCUACAACAAUCCCGACGACUACUAGUGGUGCAAUCUCCCCCAUUUUUAAUGCGUUCGUUUUUCUAACUUUAGGUUUUGUAAUUCUCA
Long non-coding RNA from Folsomia candida, 316 nucleotides. RefSeq lists it as uncharacterized. NCBI's taxonomy places the organism in Eukaryota, Metazoa, Arthropoda, Collembola, Entomobryomorpha, Isotomidae. The transcript is spliced from 3 exons. The record is from RefSeq and is a predicted model, not a curated record.